AUUGAACGCUGGCGGCAUGCCUUACACAUGCAAGUCGAGGGGUAGAGUUCUUCGGGACUUGAGACCGGCGCACGGGUGCGUAACGCGUAUGCAAUCUACCUUAUACAGGGGAAUAGCCCAGAGAAAUUUGGAUUAAUGCCCCAUAGUGUUAUCGAAUCGCAUGGGUUUGAUAACUAAAAGUUCCAACGGUAUAAGAUGAGCAUGCGUCCCAUUAGUUAGUUGGUAAGGUAACGGCUUACCAAGACAAUGAUGGGUAGGGGUCCUGAGAGGGAGAUCCCCCACACUGGUACUGAGACACGGACCAGACUCCUACGGGAGGCAGCAGUGAGGAAUAUUUGGGUCAAAUGGGGCCGCGAAGCCUCGAACCAGCCAUGCCGCGUGCAGGAAGAC
This 390-nucleotide ribosomal RNA is filed under the name uncultured bacterium. RNAcentral describes it as "bacterial SSU rRNA". It matches the Rfam family "Bacterial small subunit ribosomal RNA", at positions 30 to 412 of the family's 1533-position model. The record is from RNAcentral.